UCAGCUCCCUCCAACACGGGCCUGCGUUCAGGGCUGGCGCUCUGGCUGAGUCUCUCUGCUUUUGUCUCCAUCCUGAGUCUCGUGGGAUUACCCUCUCCCAGCCCCCCCCAUGUCCUGGGACAUGCUGAGCUAUGGAGCGGACGACGUGAUAUGUCAUCAAACAGGUGCUGCAGGCAGAACAUUGAUGUGUCAGCCACAGAAACUGAAGGUGGGGAGUACAGAAGGGGGCCUGGCACACAGUGUAUUUAUUUUGAGAGAGAGAGACCGAAAGACAGAGAGAAAGAGAG
Molecule: long non-coding RNA, 287 nt
Organism: Herpailurus yagouaroundi (jaguarundi)
Lineage: Eukaryota; Metazoa; Chordata; Mammalia; Carnivora; Felidae
Exons: 3
Source: RefSeq, a predicted model, not a curated record